ACCACCAUUCCAACCUUUUCUCCAUUUUACCCUUCUACCAUCCCUCCCACUUAUCCCACAACCAUACCAAACCUAACUCCAACCCCUACUCCCAACCCAAGUUUUCCUUCAUAUCCACAUCACCUUCAUGACCCAUCAUACAACCCACCACCAAUUUUCACCUAUCCACCUUACUCUUCAUACCCAAACAGCACCGCAUCACCAUCACCAAACCAUUACACAUCAUACACAACUUCUUCUCCAUCUGAUUACGCAUAUUCAAAUCACUACAACUACACCCAACACCCAUCAUACCACACAUCAUUUCUUCCUCAACAACCAAAUCAGACUCCUAAUUCCAACUAUUCACAACAUAUUACAACAUCUCACACUGCAGAUCAACAUAUUUCCUCUAAGCCUGCUGAAAAGGAAUGGGAAGAAUCUCAUAGAGUUUUUACUGAAAAAAUGCAAGCCAUUCACCUUGCUCUCAAGGAAAACCUCCAAAAAGUAUCUGACAAAUAUACAGCUUUGAAACAGAGCAGGCAGGCAGGAGAGACUUCUUACAACAAAUUCAGAGAAAGUUGCAGAAGAAAAACCACAAACAGAAGAAACUGAGUUUACUAUUUCAGUCGAAGAAAAAGAAUCAACAGAAGAGGACAACGUGGAGAAGAAACAAGAAUUUAAAACUCACCGUGAUUCAUUAUCACAGUUGCCUCCUUCGUGUCCAAAACUACCACCAACACAGUUUCUUUCAACUGUGUCGUCGCCGGCGCUGC
RNAcentral lists this long non-coding RNA (755 nucleotides) under Trifolium pratense (red clover). Its description in RNAcentral is "long non-coding RNA (TPRA_LNC007894)". Lineage: Eukaryota; Viridiplantae; Streptophyta; Magnoliopsida; Fabales; Fabaceae. The record is from RNAcentral.